UCUGUCAAAACAUGAUUGAAAAAAACUGAACAGAUUCAACAAUACCCAUCUAUACAGUAAGCUAGGGUUGGCUAGAGCAAAAGCUAGAAGUGGCCAAUUUGAUUCAAAAAAGUAUGAGCAUUCAAAUUAGAGAUUGAGGAUUCGAAUGGACACAAAAGAUCUGCUGAAAAAUGAAUAAAAAAAUUGAAUCGAUUCAACAAUAAAUGUCUGUAC
RNAcentral lists this long non-coding RNA (213 nucleotides) under Prunus persica (peach). Its description in RNAcentral is "long non-coding RNA (PPER_LNC008641)". Lineage: Eukaryota; Viridiplantae; Streptophyta; Magnoliopsida; Rosales; Rosaceae. The record is from RNAcentral.